CUUAAGUGUGGCUCACGUUUCGAAUCAAACAUUUGAUCGUUCAUCUUAUUUAAUUUUUUAUAAAUAAUUUAUUAUUAUUAUUAUUAGAUAAUAAAUAUAAAUAGUGCUUCAUGUGUGUCUUAAUUUUUCAUAAAAUUUUCAAAUAAAAUGAAUGGUCAAACGUUAGACAAGAAAACCUAGAACUGCAUUUAAA
Non-coding RNA from Oryza glaberrima (African rice), 193 nucleotides. The record is from Rfam. NCBI's taxonomy places the organism in Eukaryota, Viridiplantae, Streptophyta, Magnoliopsida, Poales, Poaceae.